AGAAAGGAGAAUGUGCAAACUGUAAAACUUGGGAUAAAAAAAAGUUUUGAAAUUGCAGAAAAGGAUAUUUCUGAACCUUGUUAUUCUGUUUUCAGUGCAUUUCAUCAAAGAAGUUCUACCAAAUGGAUAUAAUAUUUCAAAUUCACUCACAAAAUGAGCAUGUAAGCAACUAGUAUUAUUUGAAGAGAUUCAUGUUACAUAGUUCACACUCCUCACAAAACUCAUAUAUAUCCAAUACUCAGCUGAUCAAUCCAUAGAAACAAGAAUGCAAAUUGCCACUUCUGUGCACAUAUCAUUAAUGUUAGGGUUUUGGAUCCCUAA
Molecule: unclassified non-coding RNA, 321 nt
Filed under: Hevea brasiliensis (rubber tree)
Lineage: Eukaryota; Viridiplantae; Streptophyta; Magnoliopsida; Malpighiales; Euphorbiaceae
Source: RNAcentral